Molecule: long non-coding RNA, 642 nt
Filed under: Malus domestica (apple)
Lineage: Eukaryota; Viridiplantae; Streptophyta; Magnoliopsida; Rosales; Rosaceae
Description: long non-coding RNA (MDOM_LNC006346)
Source: RNAcentral
UAUAUAAAACAUAUCAAUAUUACAAAAAGAAUCUUGACAAAUCAAAGGAUGAUAAAAAAGAAAAACGAAUUGUAAACGAUCUGAUUUAUUCUACAAACAAAAAUAAAAAGCACUACAAAAUUGUCAAAGUAACUACAUAACUCGAAAAGUUUACAUUUUACUAGACGUAAUUCUUAUAAAAUUACAAGAUGUGAAUUUCAAAAACUUAAACCAUGAAACAAACAAGAAAACUAAACUAAACCCUAGCAAAAGCAAGAAAGCAAUCUUAAUGUACUUAUUCUACUAGAAACCCUAAUAAAAAUACCAAAAUAACCUAACAAAAUUACUGAUAAUAAACCAAAUUUACUAACUUGCUAACAUUUGCUUCACCAAAAACUAUAUUUGUAGUACUCAUAGUUUAAUAUUUAGCAACAGUUUUAGUUUCUUCUUCAUUUUGUGUGGAGCAAAAUUUGAGAUUAAGAAGGGGCAUGCAUAUUUAUAAUUAGUAAGUCUGAAUAGUUAGUAAGAUACUAGAGUUUGCUAUAUCUAUACACGUACAUAACAGUAAUCUUCAGUCAUGCGGCUCCUAAAAUUGUGGUCUGCAAGCUAUCGUCUGUUUACAGUAUACCAGUUGGGAUAUAUAUAUAUAUAUAUAUAUAUAUA